Molecule: RNA transcript, 5166 nt
Organism: Mauremys reevesii (Reeves's turtle)
Lineage: Eukaryota; Metazoa; Chordata; Testudines; Geoemydidae
Gene: SNX29
Gene name: sorting nexin 29
Exons: 26
Source: RefSeq, a predicted model, not a curated record
GGGCUUCAGUUCCGGGGCGGGUGUCCGCUCUGGGUGUCCCCGGCCCGGCUUCCCUCUGUGGAGCGGUCUCAGCGGGAGCAGGGGGGCUAGCGGCGGUACCGGGGAGGGACCGGACUCAGGGCAUCAUGAGCGGAUCACAGAACAAUGACACCAAAAGACAGUUUCUUCUAGAGCGGCUACUGGAUGCAGUGAAACAGUGUCAAAUCCGGUUUGGAGGAAGAAAAGAAAUUGCUUCAGAUUCUGAUAGCAGAGUGACUUGCCUGUGUGCUCAGUUUGAAGCUGUACUACAGCAUGGUUUGAAGAGGAGCCGAGGAUUAGCAUUAACAGCAGCAGCAAUCAAACAGGCAGCAGGUUUCUCCAGCAAAACAGAAACAGAGCCAGUGUUUUGGUACUACGUAAGAGAAGUUCUGAAUAAACAUGAACUACAGCGCUUCUACUCUCUGAGGACUAUUACUACAGAUAUUGGCAGAGGCCGUGCCUGGCUACGCUGUGCAUUAAAUGAACAUUCUCUGGAAAGAUAUGUCCAUAUGCUGCUUGCAGAUAAAAAUCGACUUAGUGUCUUCUAUGAAGACUGGUCUUUUAUGAUGGAUGAAGAACGUUCUAGUAUGAUCCCUACGAUGGCAGCUGGUCUGAAUUCCAUUCUUUUUGCAAUCAACAUUGACAACAAGGACUUAAAUGGGCAGAGCAAAUGCACUCCUACCGUCUCUGAUCUCUUAAAAGAAUCCACGCAAAAUGUAACCUCAUUGUUGAAGGAAUCCACCCAAGGUGUUAGCAGCCUUCUAAGAGAGAUAACCACAUCCUCUGCUGUUUCCAUUUUAAUCAAACCUGAUCAAGACACUGACCCACUUCCAGUUCUAUCAAAGAAUGUUAGUGCUGAUUUAAAAUGUAGAAAAGAUCGAAAGAAGAAGAAAAGGGUGACACACAUCAUCUCAUUUGAUGAGGAGGAAGAUGAACAAAAUUUAGGAGAUACUUUAAAGACAGCAGUUGCAGGAGAAAGCUCAGAAGAGAACUCAGACAAGUCUUCAGCUUUUGUAUUACCUUCCUCUGAAGGCUCUCUUGUACAAAAUUUAAAUGGAAAUCAGAAUACCCAUUUGUGGAAAAGCGAUUCCAUGUUUUUGAAUGGAGAGUGUAGUUACCAGAAGCUUGAUGUGAAGAGUAUUGAUGAUGAAGAUGUGGAUGAAAACGAGGAAGAGAUAUAUGGAAAGAUACUGGGAAACAAAGGCGUGGAAGAUGAAACAAAAGUUUCAGAAAAGCCAUAUGAAGGGGGCACAUGCAAUUCACAGAUAUGCACUUGGACUCCCCUGCAGAUCCUGAAUGAUAGUUCAGAUAUUCUGUUUCCUGUCAGUGCUGUUGAUUCUUACUCCCAGAUUGGUAACCUGGAGAAUGGAGAUGGGCAUGAAAGUGCUGUUCUUACAGUAGAACUGGCUCAGAGAGGAUCUGAACUUCCUUAUAGAGUGGAUGUCAGUCCUCCUGUUCAAGUGAAUGCUUUAAGCAAUAUGUUGCCUUCAGCCACUGUGCCAGAAUCAAUGACAAUUAAUGAACUUCGGCAAGCUAUUGUGGCCAUGAUGAACAGAAAGGAUGAGCUCGAAGAACAGAACAGAUCUCUGCGAAACCUGCUUGAUGGAGAGAUGGAACAUUCUGCACUACUCCGGCAAGAAAUUGAAAACUUGAGAAGGAAAGUAGCAGAGCAUGAGGAGCGACAUGCAGCAAAGAUCCAGGCCUUGGCAAGGGAGAAUGAAGUGCUGAAAGUACAACUCAAGAAGUAUGUAGGAGCUGUCCAGAUGCUGAAAAGAGAAGGUCAAACAGCAGAAGUUCUGCCAAACCUUUGGAAUGUUGAUGGGGAAUUUACCAUACCUGAGCAAAAGCAAGUAGAAAACAACGAAGAGCUAGCAAACUCCUAUGAAAGAAAACUGAUUGAGGUGGCAGAAAUGCACGGGGAGCUUAUAGAAUUCAAUGAGCGACUACACCGUGCUUUGAUGGCUAAAGAAGCUCUUGUAUCCCAAAUGAGGCAGGAACUCAUUGAUUUGAGAGGGCCAGUCCCUGGGGAUUUGAGUCAGACAUCUGAAGACCAGAGUUUGUCAGAUUUUGAAAUAUCAAAUCGUGCCCUUAUUAAUGUUUGGAUUCCCUCAGUCUUUCUACGAGGAAAAGCUGCUAAUGCAUUCCAUGUUUACCAAGUAUAUAUCAGAAUAAAAGAUGAUGAAUGGAAUGUUUAUCGAAGAUAUGCAGAAUUCAGAAGCUUGCACCACAAGCUACAGAAUAAAUACCACCAAGUAAGGACCUUUAACUUCCCACCAAAAAAAGCCAUUGGAAACAAGGAUGCAAAGUUUGUUGAGGAACGACGCAAACAGCUACAAAAUUACUUACGGAAUGUUAUGAACAAAAUUAUUCAAACUGUGCCAGAAUUCACAGUUAGCCCUAAAAAAGAGACUCUUAUUCAACUGAUGCCCUUUUUUGUUGAUACCCAACCUGUGGGAGAACCAGUAAGCAAAAGCAAUCGCUCAAGAGUGGCUACCCGCUUUCCAAAGCUAUCUCGGCACCAUCAAAGGGAGCCACGGAACCUGGAGCCUCAAAGCUGGUGUAUUGUCUGGCUAUACCGAAAGAAGGACAGGAGACACCUGAUAUAGUUUUAAUUAGACUGCAACUUUAUUAUUAGAUGUCUGUGACUACCCAGCAGAUAAAAGUGUAUCAUGCAGGUAACUCCAUGUUCAUUCAGUUACUACCUGGAAGGCUUCUGCCAGCCCCCAUCUUUUCCCAUACAGGUCCCCCAGCCACCCAUUGCUGGGACCUUACCAUCCACCACUGCCCUAGUAGGAGGGUUAAGGUGGGCUGUAAGAAACGGGGGUUGGCUUCCUGCCGUACCAUGUAUAGGAGCCCUGAAGCCCUCCUCCCACCCUGUUCCAUUACUUUAACCCACACUUCCUUUUUAAGUCCUUUACCAAGCCAUUUAUCUAGCCACUGUACACAUUCCCUGUGGAGUACCUGGACAUCUGCCCCACACUUACAUAAUGAGUUGCGACAUAUAGCCUAACUCCCUUCACUGUUAACCAUAACAAAACCAUCCCUGAACCUGCUGUGGAAGGCAAAAAACCCCACCCCACCUAGGCCAAUCUGUUGAGGGAAAAAGUCCUUCCCGGAUGCCCUAAAAGAAAUGGCUAGCGUGAUGCCCACAGCAGGUCCUGACCAAACCUGGUAUUUUGCCACCUGAAGGGGAGGGAAAGGUAGGUGCUGCCUUGCCCGCUCUGUGGAAAAAGAGUUCCUCAUGCCCGGGCUUGCCCUUCUUCAACUCCUUCGCCCUUCCGGUCCCAGAGGAUGAGUCAGUGUCGCCACAGCUUCUGACCUCUCUCCCUCACCCUCAAAACACUGAUUCCUUUCCCUCAGCAAGCCAGAGAACGGCCCCCUGCUUAAAGGUGCUGUGUGGUUCAUUUUUGUUAUUGACUGUCAGUUUAUUAUGCUACUAUGACAGUAGUUAUAGAAACCCAAGGGGUUGGGUUUUUUUCAGAAAAAGAAUUGACUUCUUAUUAAUGCACUUUUUUGAAUGUAGAGCUAUUUUAAAAAGUCUAACGAACUGAGACCCAUAUUCUUCAAGCCUAUGUCCCAUUUUGUGGCACUUAUUCACGAGUAGCCCUAUUGACUUCAGUCAGACAACUCGCAUGAAUAAGGUUUGCUCAAAGUGAAUAAUGGUUGCAGAACUGGCUUCUGAGUGUGAAGAACGAGUCCUGUAAUCCUAACAUUGACAUACACUGUUAUAGAUUGCACUGAGUGAUGGGAAAAAGCAACCAGUGGCAACCAGGUAUUAACACGCAAGACCCCAAAAGAAAAAUCAUGUCCCAGAAAUGAAAUAUUGUUCUGUUACUUGCAAUCUUAUCUGCUACUGCAGUAUCUUCUGCACAUCGAUAAGAGAGCUCCUUUACAAAUGAAUCCCAACAAGCAGCUUAUCAGAAAAGCUAGAUGUCUUGGUUGAAUCAGAAAAUGAGUUAAUAUUGGGUGGGGUGUUUGUUUAAAAAUAAAAAAUAAUAAAAUCUGUAAGCAGACUGCAGCUAAAGCCUCUCCGAACCAAUUAAUUUGAUGCAUAACGUGUAUUUUGAAGUUUGUCUUUGUUGAAAAAUUAUAGAUUGAAUGUGAGUUCCACUUUGAAAGACUAAAAAGUCAUAUCUUUAAAAGGUCUAAAGUCUUUACAAGAUUGACAGGAGUGUAAUCUGUAAUUCAUGUGCCAAAUUUUGCCUACUAAUAUUGAAUUACAGAUUGAAUUGAAAGCCUACCUUGCAUAAAUUCCUUUGGGGAGAAUUGGAUGUAGAUGUGUUUACCACAUGAAUCUGUUUUCGUCUUCAAAAAAUAGUUCACAAUGUACAGCUUUUCCUCCCAUCUUUGAAAAGCUGCAAAUGGUUGGGCCCCAGUACGGGGAAAUGGAUUGCACUGAAGGUCGUGCAGGAGUUGAGGAGGAACUAGCAUGGAAGCUGGCAGAAGGGAGUUGAGACCAGUGUCAGUGAAAGACAUGUUGCAACAUGAGGCUCUGGCCUGAAUGUGUUGGAGGGAGGAGCUAUCUUCCAGCACUUGAGAGUAAGGAAAUGGAAAAGGUGUUACAUCAGCUAAGAGGUUCCCAUCUGUUUGGGCCCUUCUUGCAAAUUCCUCCAUGAGUUCAAGUGCCUUUCACAACAGUUUGAGGUUCCAGUGUCGGCUUCCAAAUCCCAUUUUCAAUUAUAAAAAGUAAAGCUCCCAGUUCCAUGUAUUAUAUGAGAAUGAGGUGUAAAUGACCAAAGGACUUCAGAUGCCUUCAAAAAGAAUCUGGAUUCCUGGAGGAAGGGGGAAUGAGAGGCCACUUAAAAUAACUGUUUUGUCUCUUUCCCUUUGCCCCACUUCCAUGCCCAGCUGUGUCUGGUGAGAAGGGUGCAGAUAUAUGUUAUAGGAUGCUGGUGUGACAUCACAAAGAAACUAGCCAAAUAGAAUAGAACGGUGCCUCAUGCUGCAUUCUAAUCCUAGACGAAGAUGGUUUUGGAUUAGUGAAAUAGACAUCAGAUCUGAAAGUUUCAGAGUACACCAGUACGUACAGUGAUUGCAAGUAACAAAACUGGAGGAUAAUAAAACAAACAAUAUGAAAGAGUAAACACGAGAGAGCUUCUUCCCACAAAGCAUAAUGAGGUUUGCACUCGUUCAUCUUAAAAUAGGAAA